This 108-nucleotide small nuclear RNA is filed under the name Marmota marmota marmota (Alpine marmot). The record is from RNAcentral. Lineage: Eukaryota; Metazoa; Chordata; Mammalia; Rodentia; Sciuridae.
AUGCUAAUUUCAGCACCACAUAUGUUAAAAUUGGAAUGAUACAGAGAAGAUUAGCAUGGCCCCUGCGCAAGAAUGACAUGCAAAUUCAUGAAGCUUUUCCACAUUCUU